GUCUUACCAAGCAUUGACGAGUAUUACAAGGCAGCUAUUCACGGAUUCUUCACUGGCAGCAUCAUUCGCUUCUGCAGGGAGGGAGAAAAAAGCAGUUUUCUCAGCUUACUGGUCAAUUUGUGCAGAAUUACCAAGGUUCAGGAAAACAAGGUCUACCCUUAUCAACAGGCUGUUGAGACGGGAAGAUGGACAUGAAGUGGGUGAAUCAAGGAUAAACUGAAAUCUGUGAGGAUGGGCUGGGACUCAUGAGGAGAGACUUGGACCAACAUUGGUCUCUCCCCACCUCCAAGCCACCCACUUCAAUGAUGGAAGCAAGCUGGAGGGGAAGCUGGCAUCCUUCAUCAGAAAGCUAAUCACGCGCCUGGCCCAGGAGUCAGAGAGGGUGGAGGAGGAUCCAGCAGGAGGUGAGGAUGCUGUGAGCUCAACCUGACGAGGUGAGUGAAGAGAUGAGUGACAACAGGAGCAGCCACGACAGCACCUCCUGCACUGCCCUGGCCUUCCAAGCAUAAAGCGAAAUAUGAUUGCUGCUUUACUUCCACUUCCCAAUGGCACACAAAAUGUCUCUGUGGCCCACACUAACUGCAAUUAUGUAAAGAAAAGAAUUCUGGGAAAUACAGUUCCAGCUUAGCUAAGUGGACAGUCCAAGCAUCCCACAUUGGCUAUAUGGAGAGAACUCUUUCAAUGGAUGGGUAGAGGGCAACAGCCCUGAUGACAGCCUUGGAGCCUCUGGAUCCAGCCAGCUCUGAAGCUGUAACUAUCACUAGAAUUUUCAGUUAUGUGAACUAUUUGGCUUAUACUUGUUUGCUGGGGGUUUUUUUGGUUUUUUUUUUGUUUGUUUGUUUUUUUGAGAUGGAGUCUCGCUCUGUCACCCAGGCUGGAGUGCAGUGGUGCAAUCUCUGUCUCUUGAAAAUAAAAGUGGCCUGACUCAUAUGUGGAGCUAGUUUAGCAUCUAAGAGUAAUUUAGUUAAG
This 969-nucleotide long non-coding RNA is filed under the name Homo sapiens (human). Its description in RNAcentral is "HSALNT0312405". The record is from RNAcentral. Lineage: Eukaryota; Metazoa; Chordata; Mammalia; Primates; Hominidae.